AUGAACGCUGGCGGCGUGCCUAACACAUGCAAGUCGAACGAAGCACCUCGCCCGAUGAAGAGGAGAGCUUGCUCAAAUCGGAAUCAAUUGAGGUGACUUAGUGGCGGACGGGUGAGUAACGCGUGGGUAACCUGCCGUAUACAGGGGGAUAACAGUUAGAAAUGACUGCUAAUACCGCAUAAGCGCACAGUAUCGCAUGAUACAGUGUGAAAAGCCGAGACGGUAUACGAUGGACCCGCGUCUGAUUAGCCAGUUGGCAGGGUAACGGCCUACCAAAGCAACGAUCAGUAGCCGGCCUGAGAGGGUGAACGGCCACAUUGGGACUGAGACACGGCCCAAACUCCUACGGGAGGCAGCAGUGGGGGAUAUUGCACAAUGGGGGAAACCCUGAUGCAAGCGACGCCGCGUGAGCGAAGAAGUAUUUCGGUAUGUAAAGCUCUAUCAGCAGGGAAGAAAAUGACGGUACCUGACUAAGAAGCUCCGGCUAAAUACGUGCCAGCCGCAGC
RNAcentral lists this ribosomal RNA (506 nucleotides) under uncultured bacterium. Its description in RNAcentral is "bacterial SSU rRNA". It matches the Rfam family "Bacterial small subunit ribosomal RNA", at positions 30 to 518 of the family's 1533-position model. The record is from RNAcentral.